GGUGUUUCUCAGGUGAUGCACCGUGGAAUCAGGCUCCCUCUUCUGUGGUUCUGGGUGUAUCACCCGAGAACCACA
Molecule: non-coding RNA, 75 nt
Organism: Myotis davidii
Lineage: Eukaryota; Metazoa; Chordata; Mammalia; Chiroptera; Vespertilionidae
Source: Rfam